AGUGAACGCUGGCGGCAGGCCUAACACAUGCAAGUCGAACGGCAGCACAAGAGAGCUUGCUCUCUGGGUGGCGAGUGGCGGACGGGUGAGGAAUGCAUCGGAAUCUGCCCAUUUGUGGGGGAUAACCUCGGGAAACCGGGACUAAUACCGCAUACGACCUACGGGUGAAAGCAGGGGAUCUUCGGACCUUGCGCAGAUGGAUGAGCCGAUGCCGGAUUAGCUAGUUGGAGGGGUAAAGGCCCACCAAGGCGACGAUCCGUAGCUGGUCUGAGAGGAUGAUCAGCCACACUGGGACUGAGACACGGCCCAGACUCCUACGGGAGGCAGCAGUGGGGAAUAUUGGACAAUGGGCGCAAGCCUGAUCCAGCCAUGCCGCGUGUGUGAAGAAGGCCUUCGGGUUGUAAAGCACUUUUGUUGGGAAAGAUAAGCAGCCGGUUAAUACCCGGUUGUCAUGACGGUACCCAAAGAAUAAGCACCGGCUAACUUCGU
RNAcentral lists this ribosomal RNA (489 nucleotides) under uncultured bacterium. Its description in RNAcentral is "partial 16S ribosomal RNA". It matches the Rfam family "Bacterial small subunit ribosomal RNA", at positions 29 to 506 of the family's 1533-position model. The record is from RNAcentral.